Molecule: ribosomal RNA, 492 nt
Filed under: uncultured bacterium
Lineage: Bacteria
Description: partial 16S ribosomal RNA
Rfam family: Bacterial small subunit ribosomal RNA
Source: RNAcentral
AGUGAACGCUGGCGGUAGGCCUAACACAUGCAAGUCGAACGGCGGCACAGUAAGAGCUUGCUCUUACGGGUGGCGAGUGGCGGACGGGUGAGGAAUACAUCGGAAUCUACUUUUUCGUGGGGGAUAACGUAGGGAAACUUACGCUAAUACCGCAUACGACCUACGGGUGAAAGCAGGGGAUCUUCGGACCUUGCGCGAUUGAAUGAGCCGAUGUCGGAUUAGCUAGUUGGCGGGGUAAAGGCCCACCAAGGCGACGAUCCGUAGCUGGUCUGAGAGGAUGAUCAGCCACACUGGAACUGAGACACGGUCCAGACUCCUACGGGAGGCAGCAGUGGGGAAUAUUGGACAAUGGGCGCAAGCCUGAUCCAGCUAUACCGCGUGGGUGAAGAAGGCCUUCGGGUUGUAAAGCCCUUUUGUUGGGAAAGAAAAGCAGCAGGUUAAUACCCCGCUGUUCUGACGGUACCCAAAGAAUAAGCACCGGCUAACUUCGUG